RNAcentral lists this ribosomal RNA (236 nucleotides) under uncultured bacterium. RNAcentral describes it as "partial 16S ribosomal RNA". It matches the Rfam family "Bacterial small subunit ribosomal RNA", at positions 524 to 757 of the family's 1533-position model. The record is from RNAcentral.
UACGUAGGGUGCGAGCGUUAAUCGGAAUUACUGGGCGUAAAGCGUGCGCAGGCGGUUUUGUAAGCCAGAUGUGAAAUCCCCCGGGCUUAACCUGGGAAUGGCAUUUGGGACUGCAAGGCUGGAGUGCGGCAGAGGAGACGUGGAAUUCCUGGUGUAGCAGUGAAAUGCGUAGAUAUCAGGAGGAACACCGAUGGCGAAGGCAGGUCUCUGGGCUGACACUGACGCUCAUGCACGAA